Molecule: ribosomal RNA, 253 nt
Filed under: uncultured bacterium
Lineage: Bacteria
Description: partial 16S ribosomal RNA
Rfam family: Bacterial small subunit ribosomal RNA
Source: RNAcentral
GACGAGGUGCACAACCGUUAUUCGGAAUUACUGGGCUUAAAGCGUGCGUAGGCGGCCUAGCAAGUCGGGUGUGAAAGCCCUCGGCUCAACCGAGGAAUUGCGCCCGAAACUGCUGGGCUUGAGUGAGACAGAGGUGAGCGGAACUGAUGGUGGAGCGGUGAAAUGCGUUGAUAUCAUCAGGAACACCGGUGGCGAAGGCGGCUUUCUGGACAAAUACCGACGCUGAGGCACGAAAGCUAGGGGAGCAAACAGG